UGGUGGAGUGAUUUGUCUGGUUAAUUCCGUUAACGAACGAGACCUCGACCUGCUAAAUAGUACUAGUUAUCCUUGGAUAAUCUAGGCACUUCUUAGAGGGACUAUCGGCGGUGUACCCGAUGGAAGUUCGAGGCAAUAACA
This 141-nucleotide ribosomal RNA is filed under the name uncultured eukaryote. Its description in RNAcentral is "partial 18S ribosomal RNA". It matches the Rfam family "Eukaryotic small subunit ribosomal RNA", at positions 1299 to 1458 of the family's 1831-position model. The record is from RNAcentral.